RNAcentral lists this small nuclear RNA (96 nucleotides) under Dasypus novemcinctus (nine-banded armadillo). The record is from RNAcentral. Lineage: Eukaryota; Metazoa; Chordata; Mammalia; Cingulata; Dasypodidae.
AUGUUUGCCUUACUUAUUGAAAAUGGAGUGAUACAAAGAUUAGCAUGGUCCCUGGGUUAGGAUGGCACUCUAACUAGUGAAAUUUCCCUUUUUUGU